GGCGGUGGCUGGCCGGGCUGAAGGGCAGCUGAUUACCCUAAUCAGCAGGUCGGAGGUUCGAUCCCUCUCGCUGGCUCCA
Molecule: transfer RNA, 79 nt
Filed under: Candidatus Aminicenantes bacterium RBG_19FT_COMBO_59_29
Lineage: Bacteria; Candidatus Aminicenantota
Description: tRNA-OTHER
Source: RNAcentral